UCCGAGUUGACCCCGCAUGUCAAGCCCAGGUAAGGUUCUUCGCGUUGCGUCGAAUUAAGCCACAUGCUCCGCCGCUUGUGCGGGCCCCCGUCAAUUCCUUUGAGUUUUAGCCUUGCGGCCGUACUCCCCAGGCGGGGUGCUUAAUGCGUUAGCUACGGCACAGAGCGAGUCAAACGCCGCCCCACACCUAGCACCCAACGUUUACGGCUAGGACUAC
Molecule: unclassified non-coding RNA, 217 nt
Filed under: uncultured Actinomycetes bacterium
Lineage: Bacteria; Bacillati; Actinomycetota; Actinomycetes
Description: uncultured actinobacterium contains 16S-23S intergenic spacer region
Source: RNAcentral